GCCUUCUUAGUUAAACGGAUAUAACAACUCCCUCCUAAGGAGUAGUUCUAGGUUCGAUUCCUGGAGAGGGCACCA
This 75-nucleotide transfer RNA is filed under the name SAR86 cluster bacterium SAR86E. RNAcentral's name for it is "tRNA-Arg". It matches the Rfam family "tRNA". Rfam says of the family: Transfer RNA (tRNA) molecules are approximately 80 nucleotides in length. Their secondary structure includes four short double-helical elements and three loops (D, anti-codon, and T loops). RNAcentral also lists the same sequence under 5 other names. Lineage: Bacteria; Pseudomonadati; Pseudomonadota; Gammaproteobacteria. The record is from RNAcentral.